GCUAACGUCCGUCGUGAAGAGGGAAACAACCCAGACCGCCAGCUAAGGUCCCAAAGUCAUGGUUAAGUGGGAAACGAUGUGGGAAGGCCCAGACAGCCAGGAUGUUGGCUUAGAAGCAGCCAUCAUUAAAGAAAGCGUAAUAGCUCACUGGUCGAGUCGGCCUGCGCGGAAGAUGUAACGGGGCUAAACCAUGCACCGAAGCUGCGGCAGCGACGCUUAUGCGUUGUUGGGUAGGGGAGCGUUCUGUAAGCC
RNAcentral lists this ribosomal RNA (252 nucleotides) under Escherichia coli. RNAcentral's name for it is "partial 23S ribosomal RNA". It matches the Rfam family "Bacterial large subunit ribosomal RNA", at positions 997 to 1249 of the family's 2925-position model. Lineage: Bacteria; Pseudomonadati; Pseudomonadota; Gammaproteobacteria; Enterobacterales; Enterobacteriaceae. The record is from RNAcentral.